UACGGAGGAUGCGAGCGUUAUCCGGAUUUAUUGGGUUUAAAGGGUGCGUAGGCGGCCGAGUAAGUCAGCGGUGAAAUUUUGCAGCUUAACUGUAACAGUGCCGUUGAUACUGCAUGGCUAGGAUUUGGUUGCUGUGGGUGGAAUGUGUGGUGUAGCAGUGAAAUGCUUAGAUAUCACACAGAAUAUCGAUUGCGAAGGCAGCUUACUAAUCCAUCAUUGACGCUGAGGCACGAAAGCGUGGGGAUCAAA
Molecule: ribosomal RNA, 249 nt
Filed under: uncultured prokaryote
Description: partial 16S ribosomal RNA
Rfam family: Bacterial small subunit ribosomal RNA
Source: RNAcentral